AUUUAUUCUCCAGGUCUCAGCUGCAUUGCCACUGCCUUAGGGGAGGCCUUCCCUGACUGAUUUGAGGAGGUGCGAUGUCCAAAGGAUGCAGUUUUAAGGUCAGAUUUUUGUGGUGGGCCUCUUGGCAUCUUCCAGAAUUUAAGAAUACUCAUGAGUCUGGAAACAAUAAGAGGUGGUAUGGGUUCAGCAUAAACCUUCAAAGCAAUCACUAGGCAUGGUAAUUAUAUGGUCUUCAAGCAAGUGGAGGCUGAUAAUUUCACAUAGAGGAGGGAAGAAGAAGCUGCUUUUGUUGGAGCAUGCUCAACCUGAGUGCUCGGCAAGGCAAAUGGAAUGGAGGAUCCACACUCCUGGAAGCAGCUUUCAACCAACAAUGAUGGACAGUUAGUGGCUAGAAACUCUCGCUUUAUCCCUUAGUUGGGCUUACCCUGUAUGAUCAUAUACCCUGUCGACAGCACCACUGUUGUCCAGCACUGUUGAGUUCCAGUUGCUCAGCAUAGUGUUGAUCAAGAAUUUAAGGUGCCUUCCCUCUCCUGGCUCUCUCAUUUUCCCACUUUAUUAAUAGCAUUUCCAGGGAUCACCUCUCAGUUUAGCUACUUGCAUUCAAAUUCUUGUCUCAGGAUCUGCUUCUGGGUGAAACCAAGACAUCUAAGUUCCACUGGCAAUGAAGUAAUUAAUGCCUUAAAUCUGAUUAGAUCUAUAAACUAAUUCCAGAUUCUCAUCUUUAAGGUUGGUCUCUGUGAUGAUUAAUAUUGAGUGUCAACUUGAUUGAAUUGAAGGAUGCAAAGUAUUGUUCUUGGGUGUCUGUAGGGUGUUGCCAAAGGAGGUUAGCAUUUGAGUCAGUGGACUGGGAAAGGCAGACCCACCCUCAAUCUGCGUGGGCACAAUCUAAUCAGCUGCUAGUGUGGCCAGAAUAAAAGCAGGCAGAAGAACAUGAAAAGACUAGACUAGUUUAGCCUCCCAUCCUAGAUCUUUCUCACGCACUGGAUGCUUCUUUCCCUUGAACAUCGGACUCCAAGUUCUUCAACUUUGGGAAUUGGUCUGGCUUCCUUGCUCCUCAGCCUGCAGAUGGCCUAUUAUGAGACCUCACCAUGUGAUGGUGUGAGUCAAUAUUCCUUAAUAAACCCCC
This 1126-nucleotide long non-coding RNA is filed under the name Homo sapiens (human). RNAcentral describes it as "non-protein coding lnc-NYAP2-10:1". The record is from RNAcentral. Lineage: Eukaryota; Metazoa; Chordata; Mammalia; Primates; Hominidae.